Molecule: ribosomal RNA, 412 nt
Filed under: uncultured Rhizophagus
Lineage: Eukaryota; Fungi; Glomeromycota; Glomeromycetes; Glomerales; Glomeraceae
Description: partial 28S ribosomal RNA
Source: RNAcentral
GAGAGUUAAACAGUACGUGAAAUUGUUGAAAGGGAAACGAUUGAAGCCAGUCGUACCUUCGGGUAAUCAGCCUUUUGGGUGUGAUUUUGUGGAGCGUGAAGAGUUAAACGCCUUCAUGCCUGCAUAUUCGUGCACUUUGGGUGUACUUGCCCGUAUGGUUGGUUAACAUCAAUUUUGAUGGUCAUAAAAUGACUGGAGGAAUGUAGCUUCGAUCUCGUAUUGAAGUGUUAUAGCCUUCGGUAGAUGUGAUGAUCGAGAUUGAGGAUUGCAACGGAUACCCUUCGGGGCUACCUGUCUGGUCUCUGAUCGUUGCUCUGGUGCCGAAAGCUUGCUUACGGUUAUCAAAGUCGAUGGUCAAUAGGUUAGAACGGGUUAAAUUCGUUAAGGAUGUUGACGUAAUGGCUUUAAACGA